Non-coding RNA from Schizosaccharomyces pombe (fission yeast), 2091 nucleotides. The record is from the annotation of a GenBank genome assembly. Lineage: Eukaryota; Fungi; Ascomycota; Schizosaccharomycetes; Schizosaccharomycetales; Schizosaccharomycetaceae.
AGGAGGAGGAGCACGACCACCGGUGCCUUCCUCAAAUUUUCCUGAAGGCUUUUGCUUUUCAGCUUCGGAUUUAGUAGCGGCCUUGGCAGCUUCUCUCUCAGCCUGGACCUUUUGUCUUUUAGCUUCCUCCGCAUCUAGAUAGCGUUGACGAAUAGGGCCACCAACGCGCAUGAGAUCCUCGAGUUUAGCAGUAUAAACAGCCUUAGUGGUGUCCUCACCUUCUUCAUAAAGCCAAUCUUCUGCUUUGGUAAGCAUCUCCUUAAACUUAGAGCUCUCCUCUUCGUUGGUGAAGGGAGCAUAGAUAUCAUCAAGCUUAGCACGAGUAUCGUAAAUGUAUUCCUCAAGGGCAUUUUUACGAUCAACAGUCUCAGCAACAAGCUUAUCGGUAGCAAUCAUUUGAUGUUCAGCUUCACGGUACUUCUCAAGGACUUCAGUGGGAAGACGAUCUUCUUGAACAGAAACACUUAAGUCAGCAACCUUAACCAACUUUUUAACCUUGCGCAUCUUAACAGGUUCAUCAGUCUUUUUCUCGGCUUCCUCUUCAGGAGAAGUCUCAACUGGCUCUUCCACUUCCUGUUCUUCAACAAUAUAUGCCUGUUCAACAACCAAAAUUCCAUGUAGGUCCAAACGAACCUUGAUCUUAACAAUGCUCAAAUCACCAUCUUUAUUGGGAACAACGUCAUUAAUAAGGUAUUGAGCAAUGUUUUGCUUUAUACUGCCAGGAAGCUGAGCUUCCUUAGAAUAAGCAGCCAAAAGUUUGAAAGGUGCUUUACGAUAGAAAGUCAAAAUUUUAGUAGAGGGAAUAGGGUUGCCUUCAGAAAAAACUUCCAAACUAGAAUCCUCUUCAGGAUUCUCAGGAAUGGGUUCCCAACUAAAGGUAAUGGGAUAGGUAGUGACAUCGUGAACAUGGAAUUCACGGACACGGAAAACUGGAGAAAGGAUAGCACAAGAGAGAGCGCAUCCACGAGCAACGGCUUCAUCUUGGUUCAAAGUGAAAGACAAGCCUUUGCCGAAGUAGUUAGCAAUGACUUCUUUGACAAUAGGAACACGAGUACAACCACCAACCAUCUCAAUGCUGUAAAGGUCUUCUUUCUUGAUGCCAGCCAACUCGAGAGCCUUCUCAAUGGGAGGAGUAAGACGUUCAAGUAAAGGCUUAAUGAGUUCCUCAAAAUCUGAUCUCUUAAUGAAGGAACUAGCAUCAAUGUCAUUCAUGAUCAUUUCAACAUUGAGAGGUGCAUUGGCGUUAGCAGACAGCACCUUUUUAAGACGUUCCACAGCAGUAGCUAAACGGAAAGUAGCUUUGGGAUUUGAAAGAACAUCAAUUUUGUAUUUUUCCUUGAAUUCAGCGGCAAAGUAGUCAAUAAGAGCCUUGUCCAUGUUGCGACUACCUAAGUUGCGAUCACAGACAGUGGACUUGAUGUGGAAUUGACCACGGCUGAACUCAACGAUGGAGACAGAGUAGUUAGAGUGUCCAAAAUCAACGAUGGCAACACGACGAGGGCUUUCAGGCUCAGGUAAAUCAGUUUUGGUGAUGCCAUAAGUAAGGGCAGCAGCAGCGUUGUCAUUCAUUAAACGCAAAGGAUUGAGACCAGCGAUGUUGGCGGCUUCUAAUAAAGCACGGCGUUGAAUAUCAGUAAACCAAGCAGGGAUAGAAAUAACAACAUCACUAACAGAACCAAUCAAUUCGGCUUCAGCAAUGGCUUUAAUUUUCGUAAAAUAGGCUGCUAUCAGUUGAAUAUUAGAAAAAGCAGUUUCUUCAUUCAAAUACUGAACUUUAGCUCCGACAAAACCAUCAACUUCGGUAAGUUUAGCAGAAAUAAAGUUAGAUUCAAUAUCUUUAAUUUCAGGAUCAUCAUAAGUGCGACCAGCCAAACGCUUCAAGCUACCGACAGUAUUACGAAAGUUAGAUGCUUCAGCGGACUUAGCAGCUUCACCAAGAAAACGGCUACGCUCACCAUAAGAAACUAAGGAUGGAGUGGAGCGGUUAGAAACUUCGUUGACAAUAACAUCAAUUGCACGAUUACGGGCAACAGCAAUAACGGUCUUGCUGUUACCGAAAUCAAUACCGACAACAUUCGUCCGUGAUGACAU